GUUCCAGUUGCGUAAUGGGUAGCGCGUUGGACUUCUAAUUCAAAAUUGUGGGUUCGAUUCUCACCUGAGACG
This is a non-coding RNA of Trichonephila inaurata madagascariensis, 72 nucleotides long. Lineage: Eukaryota; Metazoa; Arthropoda; Arachnida; Araneae; Nephilidae. The record is from the annotation of a GenBank genome assembly.